Molecule: transfer RNA, 85 nt
Filed under: Candidatus Omnitrophota bacterium
Lineage: Bacteria; Pseudomonadati; Candidatus Omnitrophota
Description: Candidatus Omnitrophica bacterium tRNA-Leu
Rfam family: tRNA
About the family: Transfer RNA (tRNA) molecules are approximately 80 nucleotides in length. Their secondary structure includes four short double-helical elements and three loops (D, anti-codon, and T loops).
Source: RNAcentral
GCCGAGAUGUCGGAACUGGUAGACGACACGGACUUAAAAUCCGUUGGAGCUUAGCUCCGUGUGGGUUCGAGUCCCACUCUCGGCA